AUGCCGCACAAGAACACCAUGGCCUCCCUUGUCUUCCUCAUGGCGCUGCUGCUCUCAUGCAGCUCCAUGACCAGCGCAGCACGGCACCUAGAGGAGGCCUUGCCCAAGGAGUAUCCACCACAUCCGAUCGUCCCGGAGCUGCCAAAGCCCCAACUCCCGCCGCACCCUGCCGUGCCCGAGCUGCCGGAGCCUGAGCCACCGCACCCUCUCGUGCCCGAACUGCCACACCCCAUGGUGCCAGAGGUGCCAAAGCAUGAACUGCCACCGCACCCUCUCGUGCCCGAAGUGCCACACCCCAUGGUGCCAGAGGUGCCAAAGCAUGAACUACCACCGCACCCUGCUGUGCCCGAGCUCCCGAAGCCUAAAGUGCCGCAUCCGGCUGUGCCCGAGGUGGCAAAGGAGCCUGAAGUGCCACACCCAAUCGUACCAGAGGUGCCAAAUAAGCAUGAACAGCCGCACCCCAUGGUGCCCGAGGUGCCAAAGCAUGAACUGCCGCCGCACCCUGUUAUGCCCGAGCUCCCCAAGCCUGAACUGCCGCAUCCGGUUGCCGAGGUGCCAAAGGAGCACGAACUGCCGCACCCCAUCGUGCCAGAGGUGCCAAAGGAGCACGAGCUGCCGCACCCUGCCAUACCAGAGUUGCCGAAGACUGAAAUGCCACACCAUGCCGUGCCAGAGGUGCCAAAGGAGCCCCAUGUGCCGCACCCUGAGGUGCCAGAGGUGCUGAAGGAGCCCGAGUUACCGCACCCUGCUGUGCCAGAGGUCCCGAAGCAUGAAAUGCCGCCGUUCCCCAAGGCCGAGCUGCCCCCGAAGCCCGAACUUCAUUUUCUGGAGCCAGAGGCCAAGCCAUGA
RNAcentral lists this ribosomal RNA (849 nucleotides) under Triticum aestivum (bread wheat). RNAcentral describes it as "partial small subunit ribosomal RNA". The record is from RNAcentral. Lineage: Eukaryota; Viridiplantae; Streptophyta; Magnoliopsida; Poales; Poaceae.